RNAcentral lists this ribosomal RNA (468 nucleotides) under uncultured bacterium. RNAcentral describes it as "partial 16S ribosomal RNA". It matches the Rfam family "Bacterial small subunit ribosomal RNA", at positions 28 to 507 of the family's 1533-position model. The record is from RNAcentral.
GACGAACGCUGGCGGCGUGCUUAACACAUGCAAGUCGAACGGAAAGGCCCUGCUUUUGUGGGGUGCUCGAGUGGCGAACGGGUGGGUAACACGUGAGUAACCUGCCCUUGACUUUGGGAUAACUUCAGGAAACUGGGGCUAAUACCGGAUAGGAGCUCCUGCUGCAUGGUGGGGGUUGGAAAGUUUCGGCGGUUGGGGAUGGACUCGCGGCUUAUCAGCUUGUUGGUGGGGUAGUGGCUUACCAAGGCUUUGACGGGUAGCCGGCCUGAGAGGGUGACCGGCCACAUUGGGACUGAGAUACGGCCCAGACUCCUACGGGAGGCAGCAGUGGGGAAUAUUGCACAAUGGGCGGAAGCCUGAUGCAGCAACGCCGCGUGCGGGAUGACGGCCUUCGGGUUGUAAACCGCUUUCGCCUGUGACGAAGCGUGAGUGACGGUAAUGGGUAAAGAAGCACCGGCUAACUACGUG